UCCAGAGGUCUCAAGCGUUGUUCGGAUUCAUUGGGCGUAAAGGGUGCGUAGGCGGCGCGGUAAGUCGGGUGUGAAAUUUCGAGGCUUAACUUCGAAACUGCAUUCGAUACUGCCGUGCUUGAGGACUGGAGAGGAGACUGGAAUUUACGGUGUAGCGGUGAAAUGCGUAGAUAUCAGGAAGAACACCAACGGCGAAGGCAGCUCGCUGGGACGGUACUGACGCUGAGACGCGAAAGCGUGGGGAGCGAACAGG
Molecule: ribosomal RNA, 253 nt
Filed under: uncultured bacterium
Lineage: Bacteria
Description: partial 16S ribosomal RNA
Rfam family: Bacterial small subunit ribosomal RNA
Source: RNAcentral